CCUACGGGGGGCUUCAGUGGGGAAUAUUGGACAAUGGGGGCAACCCUGAUCCAGCCAUGCCGCGUGUGUGAAGAAGGCCCUCGGGUUGUAAAGCACUUUCAGUGAGGAAGAACGCCUGGUGGUUAAUACCCAUCAGGAAAGACAUCACUCACAGAAGAAGCACCGGCUAACUCCGUGCCAGCAGCCGCGGUAAUACGGAGGGUGCGAGCGUUAAUCGGAAUUACUGGGCGUAAAGCGCGCGUAGGUGGCUUGAUAAGCCGGUUGUGAAAGCCCCGGGCUCAACCUGGGAACGGCAUCCGGAACUGUCAAGCUAGAGUGCAGGAGAGGAAGGUAGAAUUCCCGGUGUAGCGGUGAAAUGCGUAGAGAUCGGGAGGAAUACCAGUGGCGAAGGCGGCCUUCUGGACUGACACUGACACUGAGGUGCGAAAGCGUGGGUAGCAAACAGGAUUAGAUACCCUUGUAGUC
RNAcentral lists this ribosomal RNA (465 nucleotides) under Vreelandella stevensii. RNAcentral's name for it is "partial 16S ribosomal RNA". It matches the Rfam family "Bacterial small subunit ribosomal RNA", at positions 338 to 795 of the family's 1533-position model. The record is from RNAcentral. Lineage: Bacteria; Pseudomonadati; Pseudomonadota; Gammaproteobacteria; Oceanospirillales; Halomonadaceae.